This 503-nucleotide ribosomal RNA is filed under the name uncultured bacterium. Its description in RNAcentral is "partial 16S ribosomal RNA". It matches the Rfam family "Bacterial small subunit ribosomal RNA", at positions 28 to 523 of the family's 1533-position model. The record is from RNAcentral.
GAUGAACGCUAGCGAUAGGCCUAACACAUGCAAGUCGAGGGGCAGCAUAGAGUAGCAAUACUUUGAUGGCGACUGGCGCACGGGUGAGUAACACGUAUGCAACCUACCUACAUCAGGGGAAUAACCCGGAGAAAUUCGGACUAAUACCGCAUAAUACAGGGAUGCCGCAUGGCAAUAUUUGUUAAAGAUUUAUCGGAUGUAGAUGGGCAUGCGUUCCAUUAGCUAGUUGGUAAGGUAACGGCUUACCAAGGGAACGAUGGAUAGGGGAACUGAGAGGUUUGACCCCCACACUGGAACUGAGACACGGACCAGACUCCUACGGGAGGCAGCAGUGAGGAAUAUUGGUCAAUGGACGGGAGUCUGAACCAGCCAAAUCGCGUGAAGGAAGACUGCCCUACGGGUUGUAAACUUCUUUUGUACAGGAAUAAAAGACAUUACGUGUAAUGUAUUGCAUGUACUGUACGAAUAAGCAUCGGCUAACUCCGUGCCAGCCGCCGCCGUAA